ACUACUUUGUUGUUCUUCACAAUUAGUUGGAGCUUUCUUUGGUCAACAGCAGAUGUGACUAAGAAAAUCACGCUGUUUCACUUAGAGCAGUGGGUCACCAAGUGUGGUCCUUAGGCCACACAGCUCAGCAUCACCUAGGAACUAGGAAAUGCAAGUUCUUAAGCAAUCCCACCCAGACCUACUGAAUUGGAAGUGCUGAGGAUGGGGUCCAGCAAUCUGUGGUUGAACAAGCUCUGCAGGCAUCCAGGAGCAGAGCUGUGGGGCAGCAGAAUCUGUGAUGACAGAGAAUGAUGAUGUAUUUUUGCCAGCAGAUGCUUUUGCUCCUGUUUUGAUACCCCAAUAUUCGGAUGCAGAAAAGGACUCUGAGCAUUGCUGAUGGGUGUGCUCUGCACACCUAUCUCUUCAGGAUCUGAAUAAUUUGGUGGAAAGACAAUGCCUUUUCUGGAAAAGGGUGUCAGGUCAGUCAUAUUGGAGGAUGCAAAUUUCCUUAUGUGAUGGGAGUGAGGGUUGGGGUAGGGCACUUCACGAAGCAUUCAGCAGUCUGCAAUUAAGCAUCACUCCAAGGCUUUCUGCAUAGGUGAUGGCUGUUUCUGCAUCAUGGGGCAAACCAGGUGCUAGAACUUCAAAUGCCAAUUACCAAAGGUGCUUCCUGUGGAGGAAACCUCUCUACAACUCACCUGACCCAGAAGGCACACAUUUUUUUCUGGGUUAACAUAAAUGCUAAAAUUGAAGAAAUGAAACAUUCUAAAGGCAGGAUCAUGUAGGUGAGAUCCUUUGCCUCCUAAGCUUUUGUCCUGCCAGUCUUUUCUGUGCCUUACCAUGAUACCUGUGCUAGAAGUCUUCUGGGAAGCUCUUGUAUAGAACCUCCAACUCUGGCAGGGUUAGUCUUCAGGGAUGCUUCAGGCAGAGACCUUCUCAAUGUCUAUCCUUGCGUCACAUGGGCAUUUGGGAGUAUAAGACAGCUGAGUUAGGGUCCUGUUCAGAGCCUGGGAUCAGGGAACCCCCAUAGUCUAAGGAAUACAGGAGUCCCUCUUCCCACUGCCAAGGACAAGGUUGCAAACCUGACUAGCGAAGCCCUUCUUCUGAUUAAGGCAACAUGGCCCCCUGGUUAUGAGUACAGAUUUCCAAAUCCAAUUAGUGUGGCUUUUAAUACCUGCUUUGCUAUCCAAUAGCCACAACAAUGAAAAAGUUGCCUAACUUUUCUCUGCCUUGAAUUCCUCAUCCAUAUAACAGAGAUGAAAAAACAAAACAAAACAAAAAUUUAUAGAUUAGAGUUAAAUGAGAGGAUUUGUGAAACUUCUGAUAGACAAAGCAUACUCAAAAAAUGGGAGUUUAUAAAAAGAACCAUCAACUAGCAAUGCAACCAAUUUAGACAAUUCCCUCUCCGGGUGUCUCGGCGUUCUGAUUCUAAUCUCUGAGAGCUGGCUCAGAACACAAGGGUGGCCCGCUUGGCCUCUAAAGUUUGAUGAUUCUCAGGUCCUGUAAAAGGACACUGAGGAAACCAUGAAAUGCCAGGGGAGGGACCAAGGCACUGUAACAGGGAAACCUGAGCCCACAGCGCCAUCUAGCCCGCUUGGCCCACGCCCCGCUGUGCCUGCAAGUGCAACCCGCCCAAGCAUCCUCCUCUUUUUAUUUUUUUAAAGUAUAAUUACUGGAGCUUAUGUUUCACAGUUAAUGCUGUCAAGCCUUUUAAACUAAUUGGUCUUUUAUAGAAAAUUUAACUGAAAAUUAACACAUCUUUUAAUAACAUUGCCUUAACUUUAAUGGCUCUCUGCCUUUCGUUUAUAAUUGCUCUAAAAUUGUCAUUUUCCAUGUCAUAGCUGCCAUUUUUUAUAUUUGCUAGUUUUCAUGGUGUAGAUUUUUAUUUUUAGUAUUUUUCUUUCGUGAGGGAUGAAAAUGAUUGGAUUUUUUUUUCCCUAUCCCAGGCCUGCCUGGCCUGAUGUGACAGCAGUGGUCUGUCCUGAGUCUAGCAGGACAUACCUCCAUGUACCCAACUGACACCACUGCUAGCUCCUCUGCCUCGGGACGGCCAUGUGCCCUCUGUCUCCGUGUGAGCAGUCGAAAUGGAGGCUCUUCAGUGGAGUGUAAGAAAUAGGGUUAUGGAGCAAUAAAUUGUUUAUGUAACUAAAAUCACAUGGCAUUAGGUUAGCUUGGACUGAUAGAGAACUCAGGCCUCUCCAUAACACCAGGUUCAAGGGUUUGGCCCUUAAUGAAAGUACAGGAAAGACAGUAAAUCAUGUGAACCCACAUUCCAGACGGUCACACCCUCCAGUCUUACUGAUAUAACUUCGUUUCUGGCAAACAGGCCAGCUCUCUGAUAUUAAAGAUGAGAACAUGGAAUCAUAUCUUCUGGGUACCCCAACUCAUCUACCCACUAAGCUCCCAAAUAUUAUCUAAGAUGUGUGUUCAUGAAAGAGAGAAAGAGAGAGGAUAAGUGCACACAAACACAUAAAUAUAUAUACAUAUAUGUACAUGCACAUAUACCAAAAAAAUCUGCUUCUUUGUAAUUACAUGUGAUCUUAAGAAAUACGUAUCUGCUCUGUGAAAGAUUUUUAUAUGCCUUUGCCAUUCUCCGAUUAGCAGAAAGUCAUAAGGAGUAACAUCAUUCCCAUUUAACAGUAGAAAAAAUGUGCAAGGGCUGCCGGUGAGCCAGGACCAGAAGCUACAAGUCCUAAUUCAUGGCCCAGUUUCCCUCCUCCAAGUCACUGCCUUUGUUCUGAAAAUAUGAAUGCACUGGACAUGCAAACUCCUGCCCUGGGCAUUGUGGUGCAGUGGGCAGAGCAAAGACACACCUGCCUUAACUGGCUCACAUUGAAAUUUCUCUCUAGCUCCUGGGGGAUCCUGCAGCAUGGGUCUCUCCAUAGGCUGGCAUUCACGCUUCUCAGAUGUAUCGUACACUAGCAAAAGGGGCCUCUGCUUUUCUCUGCUCUUUCUCUUAACACUGUUAUAAUAUGCUUUUUCUUUAUUUUUCCAGAUUAGGUAGGCCCUGCAAACCUAAAGCUUCAUUAAAUCUUGUUUUCUAAAAAAAAAACGACAACACUCCCAAAUUGUGUGCAUUGGAACUCAUUAGCUCUUGUAGUAGGGUUCCCCUUUUUCUCCUCAGAAGGAGGUGGCUCCUCACUGCUCCUUCAAUAACGAUGGUUCAGUGUGAUUGGUAUGUGUUUAGGAAAGGUCCAAGGCUCAAGGAAAAUGGACAUCAUGUGCACAACCUCCUAACUCAGAGGACAAGCAAGUGACCAGAAGGCCAAGGAUGCUGUCUGACCACAGACAUUGCAAUGCAGACACAUAAGAUUAGAAGCAAAACGCAGGAGGCUGGCAAGGCCAGGACAGUGGGAUGAACCAAGCAGGGAAGGGACAUGAAUGAAGCAGGCCUGGUGGGAUACAAUAGAGAGUAGUGUGGACUGUGGCUAAAGGGAGCAGCUGCUCAGCUCAAGCCAAUAGCUGCUUUACGGGAAUCUGGAACUCUGCCUUCUGACUCUAAUUUAAAGAAGGCAGGAACCCAGAUUUUAUAUAAAAUCUUAUUUUAAAAUAUUGGCAACAAAUUCAAUUUAAAAAUAAAAACUUGAUAAAU
This 3571-nucleotide non-coding RNA is filed under the name Pan troglodytes (chimpanzee). Lineage: Eukaryota; Metazoa; Chordata; Mammalia; Primates; Hominidae. The record is from RNAcentral.